UACGUAGGGUGCGAGCGUUGUCCGGAAUUAUUGGGCGUAAAGGGCUCGUAGGCGGUUUGUCACGUCGGGAGUGAAAACUCAGGGCUCAACCCCUGAGCCUGCUUCCGAUACGGGCAGGACUAGAGGUAUGCAGGGGGAGAACGGAAUUCCUGGUGUAGCGGUGAAAUGCGCAGAUAUCAGGAGGAACACCGUGGCGAAGG
Molecule: ribosomal RNA, 200 nt
Filed under: uncultured bacterium
Lineage: Bacteria
Description: partial 16S ribosomal RNA
Rfam family: Bacterial small subunit ribosomal RNA
Source: RNAcentral